This 419-nucleotide unclassified non-coding RNA is filed under the name Hevea brasiliensis (rubber tree). The record is from RNAcentral. Lineage: Eukaryota; Viridiplantae; Streptophyta; Magnoliopsida; Malpighiales; Euphorbiaceae.
GUAGAUUGGAAAGUUAACUUGAGAAAAGUAAGAGAGACAUUACACUAACACAUGCCAGCACCAAUAAAUUACUACCUAAUAUGGUUUAAUUGAAAUAGUAUAGCAAAAAUGAACAACAAUAGGCAUCUGAAUGGCAUAGCAUAAAACUCUCAUUACCUAAUCACCCUUGACCAUAUUUUGCUUCUUGUCACUUACAGUUUUAGCUUGAAACCAGUUGACAGAAAAUCCUCACUAAAAAGAACAAGUAUCAACUUCAAAAUGAGAAUUUACUAAUUUCAGAAACCUGUAGCUAAAGAUGCUAACUAGUGUUUAUAGCAAAAUUAAAAAUUAGUGUUUAUAGCAAGCAUAAGUUGAAUAGCGUCAAGCUAAGUUUAAUAUUUAUCUCCUCUUCCUCCUAGUCUCUUUUUUUUUUUUUUUUU